This 594-nucleotide small RNA is filed under the name Pan troglodytes (chimpanzee). RNAcentral's name for it is "processed transcript". Lineage: Eukaryota; Metazoa; Chordata; Mammalia; Primates; Hominidae. The record is from RNAcentral.
CACGCACGGAGCGCCGGGUUACGCGCCGACGUCUGGCUGCCACGACUUGCCGUCUGCGGCGGCGGCGGCGGCGAGCGGAUCCCGCAGGGGCAGGAGGAGGAGGAGGGAGAGCCAAGGGGGCUGUGAGUGAGCGGGAGAAGCAGGGUGUGAGCCGGACUUGCCCGCGGGAGGGAGAGCGAGCGAGAGCCGAGCCAGCCAUCCGAGCCGCCUCCUCCUCCUCCCCUCGGCGUCCCGCCCCCGCCCGCCAGCCCGCCCUCCUUCCUCCUCAGCCCGCAGAGCCUAAGUGAGGCGCAGCUCGGCUAGCGCCGCUGUCCAGGACAGAUCUCGCGAGAGUGGCUGACUGGCUGUGGGGGUUGCGGCGGCAGCAGGCGGAGCCGGGGAGGGAAAGCAGCGGCGGCUGAGGCGACUGAGGCGGCGGGCGGAGCGGCAGGCGGCGGCGGCGCGGCAGCGGAGCGCAGCAUCAUGGCGGACCGAGACAGCGGCAGCGAGCAGGGUGGUGCGGCGCUGGGCUCGGGCGGCUCCCUGGGGCACCCCGGCUCGGGCUCAGGCUCCGGCGGGGGCGGUGGUGGCGGCGGGGGCGGCGGCGGCAGUGGC